Tortispora caseinolytica NRRL Y-17796 is the source of this 95-nucleotide transfer RNA. It matches the Rfam family "tRNA". From Rfam's summary of the family: Transfer RNA (tRNA) molecules are approximately 80 nucleotides in length. Their secondary structure includes four short double-helical elements and three loops (D, anti-codon, and T loops). NCBI's taxonomy places the organism in Eukaryota, Fungi, Ascomycota, Trigonopsidomycetes, Trigonopsidales, Trigonopsidaceae. The record is from Rfam.
GUCCCGGUGGCCGAGUGGUUAAGGCGACGCCCUGCUAUUACUAGUAGUCGAGGCGUUGGGUUCUGCCCGCGCAAGUUCGAAUCUUGUCCGUGACG